GUUCUCUUAAAAUCUUCACGCAUGGAAGCCCCUGGAUUACGAGCUAAUCCAAAGAAAACUGCAAAGGCUCUUGAACUGACGGAUUCAAUCCCUAUUCCAAAGCAACCACACAAGAGAGACUUAACAAGAGCUGUAAUUAUUAUUAUUAUUCAACUUAAUUUCACAAGCUUAAUGCAUGAGACUAAUUUCACAGGAUUACGUCACAAUGAUAAAGAUUAAAUGUUUUUUAUUUUGAUUGUAGUGACAAAAGUUUUACUUUGUAGUGGUACGUUGUGUUGAAAUCUUGACCUUGACACUGUCCUGUGCUAAGACCCUGAAAAAACAGGCAGCAACACAUAUGGUGGAUGCCCUGAAGGAGGAACUGAGGGAAAAAAAAGUACCUGAUCCUGACACGGCCCCACCACUUUUUGACUCAGAGUCAGACUCUGACUCAACAGUCAUUUUUGAUGAAUCCUCUCCCAUGAAGGAACCAUCAAGAAUUGUAAGUGUUGCAAAAAAUAAUAUCAAAAUAAUACUUUUAUAUUAAACAAAAUGCUAACAUAUUUUUUUUCUUACAGCUUGAAUCAGAAAGUGAGGAUGUUAGCCCAUCACAGUGCCCAAAAAAGAAACCAAAGCUUGACAAUGAAAUUGUCAGUGCAUUGAAAGGUAUUUUAGGAUGAAGAGUAGUUAGUUUUAUAGUUGACGAAGCACAUGAGUUUAAAACCAAUAUAAUGUUCACCAUGUUUGUAUCACUAGAGUUGCCAAAGGUAGUAAAAACCCUAAAAGAUAUAGUGAUGGUGGCUCCAGCCUCAUCGAGUCAAGUGCAAGAUACAUUUGUUGGAUCACCGCCUGCAGAAAUGAUAUACCUGGGAGAAGGAAUCAACAUUCCAAAAAAGACAUUCGAUCGAUUGUCUAAGACCAAAAUGUCAGUGUUUACCCAGGAGCUGGCAGUUGUCAUUUUUGGACGCGAGGUUCUGGCGACAUCAAGUCUAACGGGCAAAAAAACCAACAAAACAGCGCUGGACUCCAUCAAAGUGAAUGCGCUCAUCGAUGCUGUGAUUUCUCGUUUUGAAGGGACCACUCCUUCCCAAAUCAGGGCUUUACUUUGACAAAAGUGUAACAAUGAGGGUUAUGCUAAAAAAAUUCAGGAAAGUGGUGUGUUUAAAGGUGAUAAUAAUUAAUUGAGCAUUUGUAAAAGGCUGAAGUGACCUACUAAAAGGGUAGUCAAUUAAAAGUUCUAGCAGUUCUUUAUUUGUUCUCUGUAGUGUUAGUGUCUAUGUCUGUUGUUAAAAUGUGAAAAAUUCAUACUGUAAGUUAACUCUUUUGAUUGUUUUAUUUAAUUAUGCAAUAUUGAUACUUGUUUGAUUCAAAUUUUACAAUAUUAAACUAUUCUGCUCAUGUUUUUUUCUAAUGUAUUUGUUUUAUUAUAAAUGUAAGCAUUGGGGGCUUUGUUUGUUCGCAAUGCAUUCAACUGAAAUUAAUGCAUAUUUAAUUAACUACAAUUACUUUUCAGU
This is a long non-coding RNA of Cyprinus carpio (common carp), 1493 nucleotides long. Lineage: Eukaryota; Metazoa; Chordata; Actinopteri; Cypriniformes; Cyprinidae. The record is from Ensembl.